UGUGUUGCUUGCCUUUAAAAAGGCACUGAG
This 30-nucleotide non-coding RNA is filed under the name Rattus norvegicus (Norway rat). The record is from RNAcentral. Lineage: Eukaryota; Metazoa; Chordata; Mammalia; Rodentia; Muridae.